CGACCAUCCAGAGCAGCUAAGAGACCUGGCUCGAUGACGCUGCAGCAACCCCCGGUCACGGAGAGGGUGCUUCCGCCAGGACCGAUGGAGG
RNAcentral lists this non-coding RNA (91 nucleotides) under Actinomyces sp. RNAcentral's name for it is "SAM-I sequence". It matches the Rfam family "SAM riboswitch aptamer (S box leader)". From Rfam's summary of the family: The SAM riboswitch is found upstream of a number of genes which code for proteins involved in methionine or cysteine biosynthesis in Gram-positive bacteria. The SAM riboswitch acts at the level of transcription termination control. The predicted structure consists of a complex stem-loop region followed by a single stem loop terminator region. The record is from RNAcentral. Lineage: Bacteria; Bacillati; Actinomycetota; Actinomycetes; Actinomycetales; Actinomycetaceae. RNAcentral also lists the same sequence under 1 other name.